Molecule: ribosomal RNA, 276 nt
Filed under: uncultured bacterium
Lineage: Bacteria
Description: partial 16S ribosomal RNA
Rfam family: Archaeal small subunit ribosomal RNA
Source: RNAcentral
ACACCAGCGCCAUAAGUGGCAACCGCUUUUAUCGGGCCUAAAGCGUCCGUAGCCGGUUUAGUAAAUUUCCUGUGAAAUCGUUGAGCUCAACUUAACGACGUGCAAGAAACACUACUAGACUAGGGACCGGGAGGCGUCAGAGGUAUUCUUGAGGGAGCGGUAAAAAUGCUAUAAUCUCAGGAGGACCACCGAUGGCGAAGGCAUCUGACGAGAACGGAUCCGACGGUGAGGGACGAAAGCUAGGGGAGCAAACCGGAUUAGAAACCCGGGUAGUCC